UUUAGUUCGAUGCAUCGCGCAGAACCUUACCUACACUUGACAUACAGAGAACUUACCAGAGAUGGUUUGGUGCCUUCGGGAACUCUGAUACAGGUGCUGCAUGGCUGUCGUCAGCUCGUGUUGUGAGAUGUUGGGUUAAGUCCCGCAACGAGCGCAACCCCUAUCCUUAGUUGCCAGCGAUUCGGUCGGGAACUCUAAGGAGACUGCCGGUGAUAAACCGGAGAAGGUGGGGAC
RNAcentral lists this ribosomal RNA (234 nucleotides) under Pseudoalteromonas haloplanktis subsp. haloplanktis. Its description in RNAcentral is "partial 16S ribosomal RNA". It matches the Rfam family "Bacterial small subunit ribosomal RNA", at positions 945 to 1180 of the family's 1533-position model. Lineage: Bacteria; Pseudomonadati; Pseudomonadota; Gammaproteobacteria; Alteromonadales; Pseudoalteromonadaceae. The record is from RNAcentral.